RNAcentral lists this ribosomal RNA (301 nucleotides) under uncultured bacterium. Its description in RNAcentral is "partial 16S ribosomal RNA". It matches the Rfam family "Bacterial small subunit ribosomal RNA", at positions 509 to 807 of the family's 1533-position model. The record is from RNAcentral.
CAGCCGCCACGGUAAUACGUAGGGUGCGAGCGUUAAUCGGAAUUACUGGGCGUAAAGCGUGCGCAGGCGGUUAUAUAAGACAGAUGUGAAAUCCCCGGGCUCAACCUGGGACCUGCAUUUGUGACUGUAUAGCUAGAGUACGGUAGAGGGGGAUGGAAUUCCGCGUGUAGCAGUGAAAUGCGUAGAUAUGCGGAGGAACACCGAUGGCGAAGGCAAUCCCCUGGACCUGUACUGACGCUCAUGUACGAACGCGUGGGGAGCAAAGAGGAUUAGAUACCCCAGUAGUCCCUGUCUCUUAUAC